AUUGAACAUAAGAGUUUGAUCCUGGCUCAGAUUGAACGCUGGCGGCAUGCUUUACACAUGCAAGUCGAACGGCAGCACGGAAGAGCUUGCUCUUUUGGUGGCGAGUGGCGAACGGGUGAGUAAUGCAUCGGAACGUACCGAGUAGUGGGGGAUAACUGUCCGAAAGGAUGGCUAAUACCGCAUACGCUUUGAGAAGGAAAGCGGGGGCUCUUAGGACCUCGCGCUAUUCGAGCGGCCGAUGUCUGAUUAGCUAGUUGGUGGGGUAAGAGCCUACCAAGGCGACGAUCAGUAGCGGGUCUGAGAGGAUGAUCCGCCACACUGGGACUGAGACACGGCCCAGACUCCUACGGGAGGCAGCAGUGGGGAAUUUUGGACAAUGGGGGCAACCCUGAUCCAGCCAUGCCGCGUGUCUGAAGAAGGCCUUCGGGUUGUAAAGGACUUUUGUCAGGGAAGAAAGGGUUUGUGCUAAUACCACGAACAUAUGACGGUACCUGAAGAAUAAGCACCGGCUAACUACGUGCCAGCAGCCGCGGUAAUACGUAGGGUGCGAGCGUUAAUCGGAAUUACUGGGCGUAAAGCGGGCGCAGACGGUUACUUAAGUCAGAUGUGAAAUCCCCGGGCUCAACCUGGGAACUGCGUUUGAAACUGGGUAGCUAGAGUAUGUCAGAGGGGGGUAGAAUUCCACGUGUAGCAGUGAAAUGCGUAGAGAUGUGGAGGAAUACCGAUGGCGAAGGCAGCCCCCUGGGAUAAUACUGACGUUCAUGCCCGAAAGCGUGGGUAGCAAACAGGAUUAGAUACCCUGGUAGUCCACGCCCUAAACGAUGUCAAUUAGCUGUUGGGGCACUUGAUGCCUUAGUAGCGUAGCUAACGCGUGAAAUUGACCGCCUGGGGAGUACGGUCGCAAGAUUAAAACUCAAAGGAAUUGACGGGGACCCGCACAAGCGGUGGAUGAUGUGGAUUAAUUCGAUGCAACGCGAAGAACCUUACCUGGUCUUGACAUGUACGGAAUCCUCCAGAGACGGAGGAGUGCCUUCGGGAGCCGUAACACAGGUGCUGCAUGGCUGUCGUCAGCUCGUGUCGUGAGAUGUUGGGUUAAGUCCCGCAACGAGCGCAACCCUUGUCAUUAGUUGCCAUCAUUAAGUUGGGCACUCUAAUGAGACUGCCGGUGACAAGCCGGAGGAAGGUGGGGAUGACGUCAAGUCCUCAUGGCCCUUAUGACCAGGGCUUCACACGUCAUACAAUGGUCGGUACAGAGGGUAGCCAAGCCGCGAGGUGGAGCCAAUCUCAUAAAACCGAUCGUAGUCCGGAUUGCACUCUGCAACUCGAGUGCAUGAAGUCGGAAUCGCUAGUAAUCGCAGGUCAGCAUACUGCGGUGAAUACGUUCCCGGGUCUUGUACACACCGCCCGUCACACCAUGGGAGUGGGGGAUACCAGAAGUAGGUAGGGUAACCGCAAGGAGCCCGCUUACCACGGUAUGCUUCAUGACUGGGGUGAAGUCGUAACAAGGUAGCCGUAGGGGAACCUGCGGCUGGAUCACCUCCUUUCUAG
RNAcentral lists this ribosomal RNA (1548 nucleotides) under Neisseria zalophi. RNAcentral describes it as "16S ribosomal RNA". It matches the Rfam family "Bacterial small subunit ribosomal RNA". Lineage: Bacteria; Pseudomonadati; Pseudomonadota; Betaproteobacteria; Neisseriales; Neisseriaceae. The record is from RNAcentral.